Molecule: long non-coding RNA, 1317 nt
Filed under: Anser brachyrhynchus (Pink-footed goose)
Lineage: Eukaryota; Metazoa; Chordata; Aves; Anseriformes; Anatidae
Description: lncRNA (ENSABRG00000006595.1)
Source: RNAcentral
AUGUCAGAGCACAACAAGAGCCACAACCGCUCGCCCCCCCGCCGCCGCAGCCCCCGCCGUCCCGCGGGGCUGAGACCAGGCCGGCUCGUGGCGGCCGGGCACGACGAGCCCCCCGGCCACCGGGCGCUGCUGCCUGCAGAAAGGAAGGAAAUUUCCCAUUCUCCGAGCUGGGCUGCGAGCGGGGCGGGGGUGCCGCACCGCCGACCUUUGGCCACCCCACCCUGGGCCGCGCCACCAGGGUUUCGGGCUGAGCCGAGCGGGCGGGGAUGGAAAAACACCCCCAAAAAAGCCAUCGGACGGUGCCCUGCAGGGGUAAAUUUCGCCGCCCCUCCCGCCCCAUUUUUUCCCCACGAGAAACGGUGUUUUCGGGGGGCCUGCGGUUGUGCAUCGUGCCGUCCCCCCGUGCUGGGGCUGAGCCGGUGGGUGUGGGGUCUCUCCGUGCCCUGGGGAGGGGAGCACCCUUCAUGGCGGCAAAAACGGGCAAAAAGCGGCGGUUUUGGUUCUGACCAAGGUGACAGCUUGUCUGAAGCAAAGCCCUCAGGUGGUGAAUUCCUGUGCAAACCCCGUCCCGUCCCCGCACCGGGCAGGAUAAGGCCCCGGGCAGGGUUAGUGGCACCGCCGCGCUCUGCCAGCAUCACAAUGCCCAGGCGUCACCACGGCACCCAAACUUGCCCGUUCUUGGCGUUCCCGGCCCCAAAAGCAAAGGGAUGGGUGAGAGGGACGGCGGGGCCGGGGAUCUGCCCCACAUCCCGCCCAGCCCCGUGCUGCAGGCAGUGCUCUGCACAGCGAUUUCUGUGGGAAAAAGGGCGGAUUUGGCUCUUUCCAUGCGGCGUUACGGGGGCCUGCUCCAGACGGGGAGUUCUCAGCGACGAGAAGGAGAGUUUUCCAAAGGGGGUGCAGGCUCGCCUUCUUGUUUUAUUCAAGCUGCCUCUUUCUGCGAUUUUCUGCCCCGAUUUGAAGGGCCGAGCGAGCGGUGCCGCUGGCUGCCGGCCCGGUUCGCCGCUGCCCGCCCAGCCGAGCGUGACACCAGCCCCGCAGGCGAGCAUGGAGCAGCUCCGUGCCAGCACCUUAAAACCUGCUCUUAUCCCCUUUUCCCCCCCAAACCACCCAGUGCCGGCGACCCCCGACCAGCCUCACUCGGCCGACGACCACCACGAAUCCCCGUUUCGUGUUAAACCACCAAAACCAGUGCUUCUUCAGGGGGAAGCCUUGUGCCGGGGGCAAGCGGUGUCGGGGCGUCGAGGCGGGACUUACCGACCGGCGGUGACACCAUCCACAUGGCCGCAGCACCGGGGGCGCCCCAGGGAGGGAAACUGA